AUAAGUUGUACAUAUGUUCCCCAAAUCAUCACACAGAAACAGUAGGUGUAUCUGGAGCCCUUAUAUUUGAAGGCUUCCGAGGUACCAAUGACUUUAACAGUCUGAGACCAGCCCCAAGGCCAUCAUCUGAUGGGCCAGUAUAGGAGACUCCAGUACCGAUAUGUAGUCUCUGGUUACCAUAAAUGCUUGGGGAGUUGAUUUCAAGAGUAUUGAUGUCGCAGUUAUUAGCACCAGGCAUGAAGAUGUCGAUAGAAUUGAUGCCAAGGUCACUGAUAUCGAAGGAAUGGCAAUGUGUACCAGCUUCAUUAGUACCAAAGUUGAUUCUUGAGCCUUUCUAGUUUUGAGCUACCUAUGAACACUACAGAGUUGGAAGUCUUAGGGUCUUUUGACUGGCCUCGAUAUGGAGAACUGUUCCUCUUUUCCUCUUUUCUAUGAGGUUUUCUGCUCUCUAUUACAGGUUGAGGAUCUCAGUGACAGAACAGCUGAAAUUCUAGCUGAUGAAGUACUUCUUGCAGAGCUGUAUUCUGCUUAAUCAGUCCCGGGCUGGCCUGGAUCAGAGGCUGGACACAGACUCUGAGUUCCCAGCACAACUCCCAGAAGCAACAGACCACUAUCCUGGGAAGGACAGGAAUGCUUCAAGGAAAUACUUCACACAGACCAGUAAAGACUUAUGAAUCUGAAGAGAUGACUGUCCACUGGGAUGAAAAUGAACUCUCCAGAGGACAGCCUGCAGAAGGUAAGGACAAAUAGCUACAAACCUUUAUGCCCCUGCCUGGGAGCUCAGAGAAAAGAUUCUUUUCAUGUCAGGAUUAUUGGUGGGCAGGUGGUUGGGGGAGGAUCUCAGUUAUCUGUGCUUUGAACUCUGGGAGCAGAUUUACUAAAGAUUUUAUAAAGAAGUAACUUUUCUCUGAGGAAAGAGAACUUAGGUCUCCUUCUCUGGGAGGCUGGCACAGGAAGAGAGGUGCUUUGGUAUGUGACAAAUCACAUCAGUGUGACAUCUUGCAUUUCUCUACAGAACCUAUCCCUUUUGAAGGCAAAGGCUAUCUUCUAAAUUAUGACAAGAUAUCCUCCACUCCAUCUAUGGCCUAAUGCAUAUGCUCUGUGUGCCCCUGAGUAAACUGGAAGUUAACUUGAGGGUACCUUGGGCAAUUACACUAAUCCAAAAGGAUUCUGGGUACGUUUUUCCUUAACUUUCAGAGACAGAAUAAAAGAAAAACCUCAUCCUACUAUAACUAACA
Molecule: long non-coding RNA, 1238 nt
Filed under: Chrysemys picta bellii (western painted turtle)
Lineage: Eukaryota; Metazoa; Chordata; Testudines; Emydidae
Description: lncRNA (ENSCPBG00000004227.1)
Source: RNAcentral